Molecule: ribosomal RNA, 253 nt
Filed under: uncultured bacterium
Lineage: Bacteria
Description: partial 16S ribosomal RNA
Rfam family: Bacterial small subunit ribosomal RNA
Source: RNAcentral
GACGUAGGGUGCAAGCGUUGUCCGGAUUUACUGGGCGUAAAGCGCGCGUAGGCGGUCUGUUAAGUGUAGAGUGAAAGCUCCGGGCUCAACCCGGAAAUUGCUCUGCAUACUGGCAGACUUGAGGGAUGCAGAGGUUUGUGGAAUUCCUGGUGUAACGGUGAAAUGUGUUGAUAUCUGGAGGAACACCGGUGGCGAAGGCGGCAUCCUGGACCGACACUGACGCUGAGGAGCGAAAGCCAGGGGAGCAAACGGG